CCUAGGGGUGGCAGCAGUGGGGAAUAUUGGACAAUGGGCGAAAGCCUGAUCCAGCCAUGCCGCGUGUGUGAAGAAGGCCUUCGGGUUGUAAAGCACUUUCAGUGGGGAAGAAAGCCUUGGGGCUAAUACCCUCGAGGAAGGACAUCACCCACAGAAGAAGCACCGGCUAACUCCGUGCCAGCAGCCGCGGUAAUACGGAGGGUGCGAGCGUUAAUCGGAAUUACUGGGCGUAAAGCGCGCGUAGGCGGUCUGAUAAGCCGGUUGUGAAAGCCCCGGGCUCAACCUGGGAACGGCAUCCGGACCUGUCAGGCUAGAGUGCAGGAGAGGAAGGUAGAAUUCCCGGUGUAGCGGUGAAAUGCGUAGAGAUCGGGAGGAAUACCAGUGGCGAAGGCGGCCUUCUGGACUGACACUGACGCUGAGGUGCGAAAGCGUGGGUAGCAAACAGGAUUAGAUACCCGAGUAGUC
This 465-nucleotide ribosomal RNA is filed under the name Vreelandella stevensii. Its description in RNAcentral is "partial 16S ribosomal RNA". It matches the Rfam family "Bacterial small subunit ribosomal RNA", at positions 338 to 795 of the family's 1533-position model. The record is from RNAcentral. Lineage: Bacteria; Pseudomonadati; Pseudomonadota; Gammaproteobacteria; Oceanospirillales; Halomonadaceae.